GACGAACGCGGCGGCGUGCCUAAUACAUGCAAGUCGAACGCUUUUUCUUUCACCGGAGCUUGCUCCACCGAAAGAAAAAGAGUGGCGAACGGGUGAGUAACACGUGGGUAACCUGCCCAUCAGAAGGGGAUAACACUUGGAAACAGGUGCUAAUACCGUAUAACACUAUUUUCCGCAUGGAAGAAAGUUGAAAGGCGCUUUUGCGUCACUGAUGGAUGGACCCGCGGUGCAUUAGCUAGUUGGUGAGGUAACGGCUCACCAAGGCAACGAUGCAUAGCCGACCUGAGAGGGUGAUCGGCCACACUGGGACUGAGACACGGCCCAGACUCCUACGGGAGGCAGCAGUAGGGAAUCUUCGGCAAUGGACGAAAGUCUGACCGAGCAACGCCGCGUGAGUGAAGAAGGUUUUCGGAUCGUAAAACUCUGUGUUAGAGAAGAACAAGGAUGAGAGUAAAACGUUCAUCCCUUGACGGAUCUAA
Molecule: ribosomal RNA, 479 nt
Filed under: Enterococcus casseliflavus
Lineage: Bacteria; Bacillati; Bacillota; Bacilli; Lactobacillales; Enterococcaceae
Description: bacterial SSU rRNA
Rfam family: Bacterial small subunit ribosomal RNA
Source: RNAcentral